CAUAUUUAUAUAUAUAUAUAUAUAUAUAUAUAUACUAAAUAGAUAUACAUGCAUGCUCUUACAUAUAUUUUUGUAUUAUAUUGCUAUAAAUGUAAAAUGAAGAAGACUUCAUAAGUCUGUUUGACUUGUGUCUUAUCCAAUUUGUACUUGAACAAAUAAAAUAUGUUUAAACUAAAAUCAAAGUGAAAACAUACCACAAAACGUCGUAAUUAUCGCGUCGCAGGCUGUAAAACAAAUGAUUGUUAGACAAAAUACAAAGCCGGUACCCAUAUGAUUAUUUUAAGCAUCUUGUGUUCUCGCGUUUGAUGAAGGCAUUCGGAGGGCUGUGAUUGGUUGUAAUGGUAUGAUUUAUUAGUUUACAGAUAGAUGCAGUAAAUAUGAUUAUUAUUUACUAUGUAAAUUUUGAAACACAUUGAAAUAUAUUCUAGUGGAGUGUAGCGUAUCAGACCAUCGGAUUUUUAUGAGAUUGUCGAAAAGGCUUCCAAAUAUUUAUAAAUUUGAUGUCUACCACAAACAAACUCCCUUCGAAGAUGGUAAUGAAACUAUUUGUCUUCAAUUUUUAAAACAGAAUAAUAAAGUACUAAUAUCACA
RNAcentral lists this long non-coding RNA (591 nucleotides) under Mytilus galloprovincialis (Mediterranean mussel). The record is from RNAcentral. Lineage: Eukaryota; Metazoa; Mollusca; Bivalvia; Mytilida; Mytilidae.